AACGCACCUUGCGCUCCUUGGUAUUCCGAGGAGCAUGCCUGUUUGAGUGUCUUGAAGUCAUCAACCCUCCUUGCUUUUUGGGCGGGGCAGGGCUUGGAGUUUGAGGGCUUUGCUGCCGAAGGGCGGCUCCCUCCAAAUGCUUCGGUUGGGCCUGCGGGUCGAACUCGACUGGGCGUUGUACCAUCCUCGCUCGACCGAGAUGUUCCCCUUUCUGCGCCGCGACCUCGACCGCCUGUGGAGCGGCGGUCAACAAGCAAUUUGAAAUCUGACCUCAAAUCAGGUAGGACUACCCGCUGAACUUAA
RNAcentral lists this unclassified non-coding RNA (303 nucleotides) under uncultured fungus. Its description in RNAcentral is "partial contains 5.8S ribosomal RNA, internal transcribed spacer 2, and large subunit ribosomal RNA". The stretch from base 1 to 52 matches the Rfam family "5.8S ribosomal RNA", at positions 103 to 154 of the family's 154-position model. Lineage: Eukaryota; Fungi. The record is from RNAcentral.